RNAcentral lists this ribosomal RNA (519 nucleotides) under uncultured bacterium. RNAcentral describes it as "partial 16S ribosomal RNA". It matches the Rfam family "Bacterial small subunit ribosomal RNA", at positions 29 to 523 of the family's 1533-position model. The record is from RNAcentral.
AACGAACGCUGGCGGCGCGCCUAACACAUGCAAGUCGAGCGUGAAAGGGGGCAACCCCGAGUAAAGCGGCGCACGGGUGAGUAACACGUGGGUAAUCUGCCCUGGGUGAUCGGGAUAACCAGCCGAAAGGUUGGCUAAUACCGGAUCAGACCACGGGACCUUCGGGUCCUGCGGUGAAAGGAUGGCGUCCGCAAGGAGCUAUCGCCCCAGGAUGAGCCCGCGGCCCAUCAUGCUAGUUGGUAGGGUAACGGCCUACCAAGGCUAAGAAGGGGAGCUGGUCUGAAAGGACGAUCAGCCACACUGGAACUGAGACACGGUCCAGACUCCUACGGGAGGCAGCAGUGGGGAAUCUUGCGCAAUGGACGAAAGUCUGACGCAGCGACGCCGCGUGUGGGAUGAAGGCCUUCGGGUCGUAAACCACUGUCGAGAGGGACGAACAAGGUGCCGGUGAAUAAUCGGCGCCCCUGACGGUACCUCUAAAGGAAGCUACGGCUAACUCUGUGCCAGCAGCCGCAGUAA